UAAUACAUAGGGGGCAAGCGUUAUCCGGAAUUAUUGGGCGUAAAGGGUGCGUAGGCGGUCAUUUAAGUCUUUGGUGUAAGUGCAAGGCUCAACCUUGUGAUGCUAAGGAAACUGGAUGACUUGAGUGUGAUAGAGGUAAGUGGAAUUCCAUGUGUAGCGGUAAAAUGCGUAAAUAUAUGGAGGAACACCAGUGGCGAAGGCGGCUUACUGGGUCACAACUGACGCUGAGGCACGAAAGCGUGGGGAGCAAACAGGAUUAGAUACCCUGGUAGUCCACGCCGUAAACGAUGAGUACUAAGUGUUGGAGAAAUUCAGUGCUGUAGUUAACGCAAUAAGUACUCCGCCUGAGUAGUACGUACGCAAGUAUG
Molecule: ribosomal RNA, 368 nt
Filed under: uncultured bacterium
Lineage: Bacteria
Description: bacterial SSU rRNA
Rfam family: Bacterial small subunit ribosomal RNA
Source: RNAcentral